This 301-nucleotide ribosomal RNA is filed under the name uncultured bacterium. Its description in RNAcentral is "partial 16S ribosomal RNA". It matches the Rfam family "Bacterial small subunit ribosomal RNA", at positions 509 to 809 of the family's 1533-position model. The record is from RNAcentral.
CAGUCGCCGCGGUAAUACGUAGGGUGCAAGCGUUAAUCGGAAUUACUGGGCGUAAAGCGUGCGCAGGCGGUUAUAUAAGACAGAUGUGAAAUCCCCGGGCUCAACCUGGGAACUGCAUUUGUGACUGUAUAGCUAGAGUACGGCAGAGGGGGAUGGAAUUCCGCGUGUAGCAGUGAAAUGCGUAGAUAUGCGGAGGAACACCGAUGGCGAAGGCAAUCCCCUGGGCCUGUACUGACGCUCAUGCACGAAAGCGUGGGGAGCAAACAGGAUUAGAUACCCCAGUAGUUCCUGUCUCUUAUAA